CCUACGGGGUGCAGCAGUCGAGAAUCAUUCGCAAUGGGCGAAAGCCUGACGAUGCGACGCCGCGUGGGCGAAGAAGACUUUCGGGUUGUAAAGCCCUGUCAGGCAAGAAGAAGUCUGCCUUAGGCAGAUGACGGUAUUGCCAGAGGAAGCUCCGGCCAACUACGUGCCAGCAGCCGCGGUAAUACGUAGGGAGCAAGCGUUGUUCGGAAUUACUGGGUGUAAAGGGCGUGUAGGCGGUUGCCUAAGUUGGAUGUGGAAUCUUCCAGCUCAACUGGAAAAUUGCAUUCAAAACUGGGCGACUUGAGUACAGGAGAGGAAAACGGAAUUUCCAGUGUAGCGGUGAAAUGCGUAGAUACUGGAAGGAACACCGGUGGCGAAGGCGGUUUCCUGGCUUGUUUCUGACACUGAGGCACCAAAGCUAGGGGAGCGAUCGGGAUUAGAUACCCCGGUAGUCC
Molecule: ribosomal RNA, 455 nt
Filed under: uncultured bacterium
Lineage: Bacteria
Description: bacterial SSU rRNA
Rfam family: Bacterial small subunit ribosomal RNA
Source: RNAcentral